AAGGAAUAUUGGACAAUGGGCGAAAGCCUGAUCCAGCCAUGCCGCGUGGAGGAAGAAGGCCCUCUGGGUCGUAAACUCCUUUUAUCCAGGGCUAAAAUGGGGCUAUACGCCGUAUUGAAGGUACUGGGGGAAUAAGCCACGGCUAACUACGUGCCAGCAGCCGCGGUAAUACGUAGGUGGCGAGCGUUGUCCGGAUUUAUUGGGUUUAAAGGGUGCGUAGGCGGCUUGUUAAGUCAGUGGUUAAAUCGUGUGGCUCAACCAUACUUCGCCAGUGAUACUGACAGGCUAGAAUAUGUCCGAGGAUGCUGGAAUGAGUGGUGUAGCGGUGAAAUGCAUAGAUAUCACUCAGAACACCGAUUGCGAAGGCAGGCAUCUGGGGCGUGAUUGACGCUGAGGCACGAAAGUGUGGGGAGCAAAC
This 418-nucleotide ribosomal RNA is filed under the name uncultured bacterium. Its description in RNAcentral is "bacterial SSU rRNA". It matches the Rfam family "Bacterial small subunit ribosomal RNA", at positions 356 to 773 of the family's 1533-position model. The record is from RNAcentral.